Long non-coding RNA from Homo sapiens (human), 162 nucleotides. Lineage: Eukaryota; Metazoa; Chordata; Mammalia; Primates; Hominidae. The record is from Ensembl.
CACAUACAGAGAAGAGUAAGAAAUUCAUGCCACUGCUUAUUAUAAAGUAGACAAUGCAGUGUGCAAAACUCAGAUUGCAAGGAUGCUUGAACUGCCCACUAUCUAUAGGAGAGUUUAUGACCAGCCUUUCCGUAGUUCAGCCUUAGACAAAGAAGCAGCACU